UAUUCCCUUUACGUUCAAGAUAAACCAGAAUUAGAAUAGUUUCGACACAUUUCUCUCCAAUUUCAAAACUAUUUAACAAAACAACUUCACGAAAGAUAUAUAUUCCGUUUUCAUUAACAGGAACUUUGUCUGCAGAUUUUGAAUAAACCUUGUCCAAAUAUUUUAAUACACUAGAUAUCAUUUGCAUUGAAACAAUGUGAUCCUUCCAGGAAUUAACUAAAGACGAUAAAAAUCUAUGAGCCGCUUCCAAUGAUCUCGACCAUGAAGUAGAAUAGGAAUCAUUUUUUCUAAUAUCCAAUAGAGCAUUCCCUAAU
Molecule: non-coding RNA, 314 nt
Organism: Schizosaccharomyces pombe (fission yeast)
Lineage: Eukaryota; Fungi; Ascomycota; Schizosaccharomycetes; Schizosaccharomycetales; Schizosaccharomycetaceae
Source: the annotation of a GenBank genome assembly